UCAACUUUGCGACUAUUUGAGUGAAAAUUCAUAGUGUAGAGUGUUGAGUUUUUACUCCAUUAUCUAUACAAUCCAUAUCUGUGCUGGUUUUGGGCUCAAAAACAAACAAUUUAGUGUUUGAGUUUCAUUACCUUUCAAUAAACUUGCCAGUGUUUCUUAGUGCAUAAUUUCUUUCCACUUAAACCAAUAUUUGCACUUUCUGUUGCUGUCUGUUAGACAAUUAUGGCAUCACUAAGUCAACAAAAUGCAAUCUGUGAAGUUUAUGAUAAGGAAUUUUCCAGCACAUCUACCAGAAACAGGCAUUGGAAAAAGUUUCACCCUGGAUUUGUUGGGAAGGAACAAAUAAAACACAUUAUAUGUCCAAUGUGUACUAAUGAUAUCCAGACAUUUUCAUAUUUUAACUGUUUAAACAAACAUUUGCUUGAUAUUCACCAUAUAACUGUCAAAGAAUCAAUUUUAAAUUUUAGGAAUUUUGAAGAAUUGACAUCUUGGAGGGCACAAGAUAAUAGAGAAGUAGAUUAUGCUUGUCAGACCCGAAACAAGUUUAAGAAUUGGGAAGAACACAUAUUUUACAAUUGCAACAGGAGCGAUAUCAGAGGAUUUAAUAGCGCGUGCAAAGUGAGAAGUCUGGGGGAAGCAUUUGCAUUCAAGGAACAUGUCAACAAAACCAAACUCAAAUAGCUAUCAGCAUAAAAUUGUAAUAGAAGCCCAUAACAAAGCCGAAAAAAUGAAUGGUAAGGUAGAAUUUUUAGAAUUUGAAAAAUUUAAAGUCAAAGUGUUUCGGUAAGUGGUAAGUUCUAUGUUGUGUCUUGUCAUGAACUAUAUGAUGAGCAAUGUCGCACUGGAUACUGUAACAUCUGUAAAAUAUGUUUUCAUAAAUACAGAUGUGAGUGUCCAGAAAAUUCUGUUAAAACAGUACUUUGUAAACAUAUACAUGCUGUAGGCUGUAGCCAUUUUUGAGCAGAGGAGCGAGUUUGUUGUAGGUUCCCCAACUGUGAGUGAAGAGGAUAAAGUUUUGUUUGUUGAUCAACCCACAACUAGCCAAAUCAAUUAUCAGGAGGAUGUAAACCAUUUUAUUCAGGAGAGUUCAAAAAUGAAAGUCAAUAGUUCUGCAAUGGACUUUGAAGAAAAUCGAGAAAUUGCAUUGCAAGAAAUUUGUAGCUAUGGUAGAAGUUUAGAUAAAAAUGCAUUUGCCAGAUUUAUGGCUGUAAUCAACAAAUUUAAAAAUAAAAAAGUGGACGAAGAAAAUUCUCAGGGCAUUGAAAAGAAAAGAAAAAUUGAAAAACAAAUGUACUAUCAAAAUAAAAAAUAAGCUAGAUUUCUUUGUGUAUUUAAUGGCUAGAUAAUAUUUGAAUUGUAGCUAUUUUUUUAUGUUUGUAUAGCUGUGAAGUUAACAAAAAUAGGAUGUGGUUUGGAAGGUUUUCGUGCAGGUUUCAAAUUGUAAAAACAAAUUUCAAGACGUCAUAAUGGUUUAAAUAACGGUGUUGGUUUCUGUAUAACUAUUUUUAUAUCUUUUAUUUUAAGACUAAAAUGUUAGCUUAUUUUGUAUGUUAAUAUUCAACUAAUCAUUUUCUACAUUUUGUUUGCUAUGUUUUUAAUAUUUUUUAGGGUGCAGAAAAGUUAAUUGGAUUAACUUGAAAUUGACACGGAACGAGGGGGAAGAUCCUCUGUGAGUAUAUAUUUAUUAAUUAAAAUGUAUACAGAGCAGUAAUUUAUUUUCAUGUUACUAUUGAAUGGAAGUUUGAAUGGUUUGGGCUGUAUAUACAUGAGCAUCAGAGAUGACAAAUAAGCUAAAGAAGUGCGAGUCUACAUACUAUAUACCAGAUUAAUACAUUUAGCCUCUUUGCAUUUAAUUUUGAGGUUGUUGAUAUUAAAAAUACCAUAAAUUAUUAUAUUUAAAUAACAAAUAAAUUUAUAGAUUUUUUAUUAUUUGAAAUAAACAAAGUUAAAAUAUAA
RNAcentral lists this unclassified non-coding RNA (1956 nucleotides) under Anthonomus grandis grandis. RNAcentral describes it as "uncharacterized LOC126735275". The record is from RNAcentral. Lineage: Eukaryota; Metazoa; Arthropoda; Insecta; Coleoptera; Curculionidae.